UGGGGAAUUUUGGACAAUGGGCGCAAGCCUGAUCCAGCCAUUCCGCGUGCAGGAUGAAGGCCUUCGGGUUGUAAACUGCUUUUGUACGGAACGAAAAAGCCCUUUCUAAUACAGAGGGUCCAUGACGGUACCGUAAGAAUAAGCACCGGCUAACUACGUGCCAGCAGCCGCGGUAAUACGUAGGGUGCGAGCGUUAAUCGGAAUUACUGGGCGUAAAGCGUGCGCAGGCGGUGAUGUAAGACAGAUGUGAAAUCCCCGGGCUCAACCUGGGAACUGCAUUUGUGACUGCAUCGCUGGAGUGCGGCAGAGGGGGAUGGAAUUCCGCGUGUAGCAGUGAAAUGCGUAGAUAUGCGGAGGAACACCGAUGGCGAAGGCAAUCCCCUGGGCCUGCACUGACGCUCAUGCACGAAAGCGUGGGGAGCAAACA
Molecule: ribosomal RNA, 427 nt
Filed under: uncultured Variovorax sp.
Lineage: Bacteria; Pseudomonadati; Pseudomonadota; Betaproteobacteria; Burkholderiales; Comamonadaceae
Also listed under: 1 other name
Description: bacterial SSU rRNA
Rfam family: Bacterial small subunit ribosomal RNA
Source: RNAcentral